CGGUGGGGACGCUACCUGCAAGUCGAGCGGAUGAGAGGAGCUUGCUCUUCGAUUCAGCGGCGGACGGGUGAGUAAUGCCUAGGAAUCUGCCUAGUAGUGGGGGACAACGUUUCGAAAGGAACGCUAAUACCGCAUACGUCCUACGGGAGAAAGUGGGGGAUCUUCGGACCUCACGCUAUUAGAUGAGCCUAGGUCGGAUUAGCUAGUUGGUAGGGUAAAGGCCUACCAAGGCGACGAUCCGUAACUGGUCUGAGAGGAUGAUCAGUCACACUGGAACUGAGACACGGUCCAGACUCCUACGGGAGGCAGCAGUGGGGAAUAUUGGACAAUGGGCGAAAGCCUGAUCCAGCCAUGCCGCGUGUGUGAAGAAGGCCUUCGGGUCGUAAAGCACUUUAAGUUGGGAGGAAGGGCUCAUAGCGAAUACCUGUGAGUUUUGACGUUACCAACAGAAUAAGCACCGGCUAACUUCGUGCCAGCAGCCGCGGUAAUACGAAGGGUGCAAGCGUUAAUCGGAAUUACUGGGCGUAAAGCGCGCGUAGGUGGCUUGAUAAGUUGGAUGUGAAAUCCCCGGGCUCAACCUGGGAACUGCAUCCAAAACUGUCUGGCUAGAGUGCGGUAGAGGGUAGUGGAAUUUCCAGUGUAGCGGUGAAAUGCGUAGAUAUUGGAAGGAACACCAGUGGCGAAGGCGACUACCUGGACUGACACUGACACUGAGGUGCGAAAGCGUGGGGAGCAAACAGGAUUAGAUACCCUGGUAGUCCACGCCGUAAACGAUGUCAACUAGCCGUUGGGAUCCUUGAGAUCUUAGUGGCGCAGCUAACGCAUUAAGUUGACCGCCUGGGGAGUACGGCCGCAAGGUUAAACUCAAAUGAAUUGACGGGGGCCGCACAAGCGGUGGAACAUGUGGUUUAUUCGAAGCAACGCGAAAAACCUUACC
This 937-nucleotide ribosomal RNA is filed under the name Pseudomonas sp. RNAcentral describes it as "bacterial SSU rRNA". It matches the Rfam family "Bacterial small subunit ribosomal RNA", at positions 40 to 975 of the family's 1533-position model. The record is from RNAcentral. Lineage: Bacteria; Pseudomonadati; Pseudomonadota; Gammaproteobacteria; Pseudomonadales; Pseudomonadaceae.